GCCCCGAUGGCGAAACUGGUAGACGCACGGCACUCAAAAUGCCGCGCCCGUGAGGGCAUGUUGGUUCGAUUCCGACUCGGGGCACCA
RNAcentral lists this transfer RNA (87 nucleotides) under Rhodospirillales bacterium. RNAcentral's name for it is "tRNA-Leu". It matches the Rfam family "tRNA". Rfam says of the family: Transfer RNA (tRNA) molecules are approximately 80 nucleotides in length. Their secondary structure includes four short double-helical elements and three loops (D, anti-codon, and T loops). Lineage: Bacteria; Pseudomonadati; Pseudomonadota; Alphaproteobacteria; Rhodospirillales. The record is from RNAcentral.